UACGUAGGGUGCAGGCGUUAAUCGGAAUUACUGGGCGUAAAGCGUGCGCAGGCGGUCUUUUAAGUCAGAUGUGAAAUCCCCGGGCUUAACCUGGGAACUGCGUUUGAAACUGGAAGGCUUGAGUGUGGCAGAGGGGGGUGGAAUUCCACGUGUAGCAGUGAAAUGCGUAGAGAUGUGGAGGAACACCGAUGGCGAAGGCAGCCCCCUGGGCUAACACCGACGCUCAUGCACGAAAGCGUGGGGAGCAAACAGG
This 253-nucleotide ribosomal RNA is filed under the name uncultured bacterium. Its description in RNAcentral is "partial 16S ribosomal RNA". It matches the Rfam family "Bacterial small subunit ribosomal RNA", at positions 524 to 776 of the family's 1533-position model. The record is from RNAcentral.